GACGAACCGAGCGAACGUUGUUCGGAAUCACUGGGCUUAAAGGGCGCGUAGGCGGGCAUUCAAGUCUAUGGUGAAAUCCGGCAGCUCAACUGUCGAACUGCCGUGGAUACUGGAUGUCUCGAGGGAGGUAGGGGCGUGCGGAACUAAUGGUGGAGCGGUGAAAUGCGUUGAUAUCAUUAGGAACUCCGGUGGCGAAGGCGGCACGCUGGACCUCUUCUGACGCUGAGGCGCGAAAGCCAGGGGAGCAAACGGG
RNAcentral lists this ribosomal RNA (253 nucleotides) under uncultured bacterium. Its description in RNAcentral is "partial 16S ribosomal RNA". It matches the Rfam family "Bacterial small subunit ribosomal RNA", at positions 524 to 776 of the family's 1533-position model. The record is from RNAcentral.